RNAcentral lists this ribosomal RNA (482 nucleotides) under uncultured bacterium. Its description in RNAcentral is "partial 16S ribosomal RNA". It matches the Rfam family "Bacterial small subunit ribosomal RNA", at positions 30 to 507 of the family's 1533-position model. The record is from RNAcentral.
AUUGAACGCUGGCGGCAUGCUUUACACAUGCAAGUCGAACGGCAGCGCGGGGCAACCUGGCGGCGAGUGGCGAACGGGUGAGUAAUACAUCGGAACGUACCCAGAAGUGGGGGAUAACGUAGCGAAAGUUACGCUAAUACCGCAUACGUUCUACGGAAGAAAGUGGGGGACCUUCGGGCCUCAUGCUUUUGGAGCGGCCGAUGUCUGAUUAGCUAGUUGGUGAGGUAAAGGCUCACCAAGGCGACGAUCAGUAGCUGGUCUGAGAGGACGACCAGCCACACUGGGACUGAGACACGGCCCAGACUCCUACGGUAGGCAGCAGUGGGGAAUUUUGGACAAUGGGCGCAAGCCUGAUCCAGCAAUGCCGCGUGAGUGAAGAAGGCCUUCGGGUUGUAAAGCUCUUUUGUCAGGGAAGAAACGGCUGAGGAUAAUACCUUCGGCUAAUGACGGUACCUGAAGAAUAAGCACCGGCUAACUACGUG